CAAAUACAAUAAUGAAAGUCUUCAUUUUCUUAGUCCUGCUGGCCAUCACUACUUCAUUCGCCAAGAAGCAGGAGGAAUUGAAGGGGAAAAGUUGAACAAUGAGCUUGAAGCAAGCAUAGUGAAGAAAGCUGGACAGACCAUGCAAUCUCUGGGCAAGAUCCUGCAGGGCGAUUUCUCAUUAAGCACUUUGGAAGAAAGGGAAAUACUUCUGAGUGCCAUGAAAGGCCUGAGCCUUGCUGAUCAGCCAGAGGAAGGCAGCGAAGAAUACUUCCUAACGCUUAUUGUGAAAGCCAUCGUUAUUGGAGUACUGACGGGCGGAGCCUCAGCUGGCAUAAAACACCUGGUGGUGCGGAAUCAACA
This is a long non-coding RNA of Rhipicephalus sanguineus (brown dog tick), 360 nucleotides long. RefSeq lists it as uncharacterized. The transcript has 3 exons. The record is from RefSeq and is a predicted model, not a curated record. Lineage: Eukaryota; Metazoa; Arthropoda; Arachnida; Ixodida; Ixodidae.